ACGCUCGACACCUACGGGAGGCAGCAGUGGGGGAUAUUGCACAAUGGGCGCAAGCCUGAUGCAGCGACGCCGCGUGAGGGAAGACGGUCUUCGGAUUGUAAACCUCUGUCUUCGGGGACGAUAAUGACGGUACCCGAGGAGGAAGCCACGGCUAACUACGUGCCAACAGCCGCGGUAAUCUGAGCGGGCUGGCAAGGC
RNAcentral lists this ribosomal RNA (198 nucleotides) under uncultured bacterium. RNAcentral's name for it is "partial 16S ribosomal RNA". It matches the Rfam family "Bacterial small subunit ribosomal RNA", at positions 328 to 539 of the family's 1533-position model. The record is from RNAcentral.